GAUCAGAUCAAGCGCGAUAAGGGCGUUUGGUGGAUGCCUUGGCAGCAAGAGGCGAUGAAGGACGUGAUACUCUGCGAUAAGCCAUGGGGAGCUGAGAACAAGCCUUGAUCCAUGGAUUUCCGAAUGGGGAAACCCACCUGAAUGUUUGCUGUUGUGACCCUCGGGUCGUCAACAGUGUGCAUGACCAGGUAUCUUUGACCUGAAUAUAUAGGGUUUAAGAAGCGAACCCGGGGAACUGAAACAUCUAAGUACCCGGAGGAAAGGAUAUCAACAGAUACUCCCCCAGUAGCGGCGAGCGAACGGGGACCAGCCGAGCCGUGAGAAUGACCGGAACGAUCUGGAAAGAUCGGCCAUAGCGGGUGACAGCCCCGUACGGGAAGUUCGAUCGGACGUAUCAAGUAGGGCGGGACACGUGAAAUCCUGUUCGAAGAUCGGGGGACCACCCCCGAAGGCUAAGUACUCCUUGCUGACCGAUAGCGAACCAGUACCGUGAGGGAAAGGUGAAAAGCACCCCGACGAGGGGAGUGAAACAGUUUCUGAAACCGGACGCCUACAAGCAGUCGGAGGGAUCCUGCAUCCUGACGGCGUACCUUUUGUAUAAUGGGUCAACGACUUGGUCUGUCUGGCAAGCUUAAGCCGUUAGGUGUAGGCGCAGCGAAAGCGAGUGUUAAAUGCGCGACGAAGUCAGACGGAUCAGACCCGAAACCGAGUGAUCUAGGCAUGAGCAGGCUGAAGGUUGGGUAACACCAACUGGAGGGCCGAACCCACACCCGUUGAAAAGGGUCGGGAUGACUUGUGCCUAGGGGUGAAAGGCCAAUCAAACUCGGAGAUAGCUGGUUCUCCGCGAAAGCUAUUUAGGUAGCGCCUCGGACGUAUCCCUCGGGGGGUAGAGCACUGCAUGGAUGAUGGGGGCCCACAGCCUUACUGAGUCUAAGCAAACUCCGAAUACCCGAGAGGAUUAUCCGGGAGACACACGGCGGGUGCUAACGUCCGUCGUGGAGAGGGAAACAACCCUGACCAACAGCUAAGGCCCCCAAUUCGUGGCUAAGUGGGAAAGCAUGUGAGACUUCCAAAACAACCAGGAGGUUGGCUUAGAAGCAGCCAUCCUUUAAAGAUAGCGUAACAGCUCACUGGUCUAAUUCAGAGGUCUUGCGGCGAAGAUGUAACGGGGCUCAAGCCACGAGCCGAAGCUUUGGAUGCACAUUUGAUGUGCGUGGUAGCGGAGCGUUCUGUGAUAGAGGACGCUGCCUCUUUUGUCUGAGGCGUCCAUGGUCAUCCGCGAGGAUGACGGACAAGACAGCCAACGGAGGCAAUGUUCUGACUGUGAAGCCGGGCCGUGAGGCAUCCGGUGGAGUGAUCAGAAGCGAGAAUGUUGACAUGAGUAGCGACAAACAGGGUGAGAGACCCUGUCGCCGAAAGUCCAAGGGUUCCUGCUUAAAGCUAAUCUGAGCAGGGUAAGCCGGCCCCUAAGGCGAGGCCGAAAGGCGUAGUCGAUGGGAACCAGGUUAAUAUUCCUGGGCCAGGAGAUGGUGACGGAUCCCGGAGGUCGUUCGAUCUUAACGGAUUGAUCGGGCUGCUGAGGGGUUCCUGGAAAUAGCCCUCCAUGAGACCGUACCCGAAACCGACACAGGUGGACUGGUAGAGAAUACCAAGGCGCUUGAGAGAACCACAUUUAAGGAACUCGGCAAAAUACCUCCGUAAGUUCGCGAGAAGGAGGCCCGGUUGGUGCGCAAGCAUCGGUCGGGGGCACAAACCAGGGGGUGGCGACUGUUUACUAAAAACACAGGGCUCUGCGAAGCCGCAAGGCGACGUAUAGGGUCUGACGCCUGCCCGGUGCCGGAAGGUUAAAAGGAGAGGUGCAAGCCUUGAAUUGAAGCCCCGGUAAACGGCGGCCGUAACUAUAACGGUCCUAAGGUAGCGAAAUUCCUUGUCGGGUAAGUUCCGACCUGCACGAAUGGCGUAACGA
RNAcentral lists this ribosomal RNA (1966 nucleotides) under Croceicoccus sp. Its description in RNAcentral is "bacterial LSU rRNA". It matches the Rfam family "Bacterial large subunit ribosomal RNA", at positions 1 to 2007 of the family's 2925-position model. The record is from RNAcentral. Lineage: Bacteria; Pseudomonadati; Pseudomonadota; Alphaproteobacteria; Sphingomonadales; Erythrobacteraceae.